UGCCUAGGAAAGACUUUAGAUCGAGUU
This 27-nucleotide non-coding RNA is filed under the name Homo sapiens (human). Lineage: Eukaryota; Metazoa; Chordata; Mammalia; Primates; Hominidae. The record is from RNAcentral.